GCUCUUUGUAGCAUGAUGCUCCGUCUCACCAGAGGCCUGUAGCCAUGGAGUCAGCCAGCCAUAGACUGACUCCUCUAGAACGGUGAGGCAGUAUAUACCUCCCUCUUUUCACCCGUUCUUCGUCUAUGUUUGUCACAGCCGCUAAAGGUCUGACUGAGGGGGGAGGUGUGGUGGAGUGAGGAUUCUGGGACAGGUGCAGCACGGGACCACAUCAACCAAGCCGUCUUUUGGCCUUAACUGCAGAGAUCUUCCGGUAGCGUUUUUACCUGACCCGAAGGGACAUUAUCCUGUCUGUACACAGUGA
Molecule: long non-coding RNA, 304 nt
Filed under: Rattus norvegicus (Norway rat)
Lineage: Eukaryota; Metazoa; Chordata; Mammalia; Rodentia; Muridae
Description: long non-coding RNA NONRATT033534
Source: RNAcentral